This 427-nucleotide ribosomal RNA is filed under the name uncultured Mycobacteriales bacterium. Its description in RNAcentral is "bacterial SSU rRNA". It matches the Rfam family "Bacterial small subunit ribosomal RNA", at positions 355 to 794 of the family's 1533-position model. The record is from RNAcentral. Lineage: Bacteria; Bacillati; Actinomycetota; Actinomycetes; Mycobacteriales.
UGGGGAAUAUUGCACAAUGGGCGAAAGCCUGAUGCAGCGACGCCGCGUGAGGGAUGACGGCCUUCGGGUUGUAAACCUCUUUCAGUAGGGACGAAGCGCAAGUGACGGUACCUGCAGAAGAAGCACCGGCUAACCACGUGCCAGCAGCCGCGGUAAUACGUAGGGUGCGAGCGUUGUCCGGAAUUACUGGGCGUAAAGAGCUCGUAGGCGGUUUGUCACGUCGUCUGUGAAAUCCUAGGGCUUAACCCUGGACGUGCAGGCGAUACGGGCUGACUUGAGUACUACAGGGGAGACUGGAAUUUCUGGUGUAGCGGUGGAAUGCACAGAUAUCAGGAAGAACACCGAUGGCGAAGGCAGGUCUCUGGGUAGUAACUGACGCUGAGGAGCGAAAGCAUGGGUAGCGAACAGGAUUAGAUACCCUGGUAGU